UGGGGAAUUUUGGACAAUGGGCGAAAGCCUGAUCCAGCAAUGCCGCGUGUGUGAAGAAGGCCUUCGGGUUGUAAAGCACUUUUGUCCGGAAAGAAAUCCUUGGCUCUAAUACAGUCGGGGGAUGACGGUACCGGAAGAAUAAGCACCGGCUAACUACGUGCCAGCAGCCGCGGUAAUACGUAGGGUGCAAGCGUUAAUCGGAAUUACUGGGCGUAAAGCGUGCGCAGGCGGUUUGCUAAGACCGAUGUGAAAUCCCCGGGCUCAACCUGGGAACUGCAUUGGUGACUGGCAGGCUAGAGUAUGGCAGAGGGGGGUAGAAUUCCACGUGUAGCAGUGAAAUACGUAGAGAUGUGGAGGAAUACCGAUGGCGAAGGCAGCCCCCUGGCCCAAUACUGACGCUCAUGCACGAAAGCGUGGGGAGCAAACAGGAUUAGAUACCCUGGUAGUCCACGCCCUAAACGAUGUCAACUAGUUGUUGGGGAUUCAUUUCCUUAGUAACGUAGCUAACGCGUGAAGUUGACCGCCUGGGGAGUAC
This 535-nucleotide ribosomal RNA is filed under the name uncultured bacterium. RNAcentral's name for it is "partial 16S ribosomal RNA". It matches the Rfam family "Bacterial small subunit ribosomal RNA", at positions 355 to 883 of the family's 1533-position model. The record is from RNAcentral.